CAGCAGCCGCGGUAAUACGUAGGUGGCAAGCGUUGUCCGGAAUUAUUGGGCGUAAAGGGCUCGCAGGCGGUUUCUUAAGUCUGAUGUGAAAGCCCCCGGCCCAACCGGGGAGGGUCAUUGGAAACUGGGAAACUUGAGUGCAGAAGAGGAGAGUGGAAUUCCACGUGUAGCGGUGAAAUGCGUAGAGAUGUGGAGGAACACCAGUGGCGAAGGCGACUCUCUGGUCUGUAACUGACGCUGAGGAGCGAAAGCGUGGGGAGCGAACAGGAUUAGAUACCCGCGUAGUCCCUGUCUCUUAUAC
This 301-nucleotide ribosomal RNA is filed under the name uncultured bacterium. RNAcentral's name for it is "partial 16S ribosomal RNA". It matches the Rfam family "Bacterial small subunit ribosomal RNA", at positions 509 to 807 of the family's 1533-position model. The record is from RNAcentral.